UCCCUCACUCUAACCCCUCACUCCCUCACUCCAACCCCUCACUCCCUCACUCCAACCCCUCACCUUCUCACUCCAACCCCUCACUUCCUCACUCCAACCCCUCACCUUCUCACUCCAACCCCUCACUCCCUCACUCUAACCCCUCACUCCCUCACUCCAACCCCUCACUCCCUCACUCCAACCCCUCACCUUCUCACUCCAAGCCCUCACCUCCUCAUCAAAAAAUGAUCACGUGAUUUAAAAUCAUGAUGCUUGUUGUGGUAGCCUGUUUGUGAACAUCCUGAUCAACUUGUGUGUGGAUGUAUCGGCCAGCUCUGCGGUCACGGUGUGUUUGCUGGACAUUUCAUCUUACAGGAGCAGGAAGACACAUCGCUGGAGCCUGAAAAGAAAGAAGUGUCAUGGCCGAAAAAGGACCAGCUCAUGUAAGAGAAACUGGGAGAAGCUCUCACUGGAAGUAGCCUAGUGGACACGGAGAGUGCAGCUUUCUUGCCUUGGUGUUUUGUGUUUUUGUUUUUUUUUUUGUUUUGGGAAUGGUAUUUUGUUUUUGUUUUGGACGCUGAAGAAACUACAUUGAAGUUUCUUUUUGUUCAAUGUAGGUUUUUUUUUGUGAAUAUUGAUGGUUGAGUUAGAUUAGAAGUUUUGUUUUCUGUUCAGUAAAUUGGUUAUGUUUUGUUUCUUUAUUUGAUUUGGCACGGUCUUGUUCUUUUCUCUUGUCCUCGUUCUUUUGUGAAUCAGAAUCAGAUUUAUUGGCCAAGUGUGUUGACACACACAAGGAAUUUGGUUCCAGCAGUUUGUGACUCUCAAAGGUACAGACAUAAAUAACACAAUACUAUACAAGAAAACAAUGCAGACAAUGAGAUGCAAUAUAGACAGAAUGAGUAUAAAAUAGGGUUAUAGAAUGAAUAAAAUAUGAAUAUGGAAUAUGAACGAUCAGUAAUGUACAUAAAGUGUGGGAGUGCAAAUAAGAAUAUUGUGCAAUAUGCGUUUUGUGCAAUAUAUAGCAGCAGUAGUGUGUGUAAUACAUACAGUAAUACAUACAU
Molecule: long non-coding RNA, 1040 nt
Organism: Tachysurus vachellii
Lineage: Eukaryota; Metazoa; Chordata; Actinopteri; Siluriformes; Bagridae
Exons: 3
Source: RefSeq, a predicted model, not a curated record